RNAcentral lists this ribosomal RNA (469 nucleotides) under uncultured bacterium. RNAcentral describes it as "partial 16S ribosomal RNA". It matches the Rfam family "Bacterial small subunit ribosomal RNA", at positions 28 to 507 of the family's 1533-position model. The record is from RNAcentral.
GACGAACGCUGGCGGCGUGCUUAACACAUGCAAGUCGAACGGAAAGGCCCUGCUUGCAGGGUGCUCGAGUGGCGAACGGGUGAGUAACACGUGGGUGAUCUGCCCCUUACUUUGGGAUAAGCCUGGGAAACUGGGUCUAAUACUGGAUAGGACCAUGCUGUAGGUGGUGUGGUGGAAAGAUUAGUUUCGGUAAGGGAUGAGCUCGCGGCCUAUCAGCUUGUUGGUGGGGUAAUGGCCUACCAAGGCGUCGACGGGUAGCCGGCCUGAGAGGGUGGACGGCCACAUUGGGACUGAGAUACGGCCCAGACUCCUACGGGAGGCAGCAGUGGGGAAUAUUGCACAAUGGGCGCAAGCCUGAUGCAGCAACGCCGCGUGGGGGAUGACGGCCUUCGGGUUGUAAACUCCUUUCAGCCAUGACGAAGCCCUUGUGGUGACGGUAGUGGUAGAAGAAGCACCGGCUAACUACGUG